GACGAACGCUGGCGGCGUGCUUAACACAUGCAAGUCGAACGGAAAGGCCCUGCUGUUGUGGGUUGCUCGAGUGGCGAACGGGUGAGUAACAAGUGAGUAACCUGCCCUUGACUUUGGGAUAACUUCAGGAAACUGGGGCUAAUACCGGAUCGGAGCUCCUGCUGCAUGGUGGGGGUUGGAAAGUUUCGGCGGUUGGGGAUGGACUCGCGGCUUAUCAGCUUGUUGGUGGGGGAGUGGCUUACGAAGGCUUUGACGGGUAGCCGGCCUGAGAGGGUGACCGGCGACCAUGGGACUGAGGUACGGACCAGACUCCUACGGGAGGCAGCAGUGGGGAAUAUUGCACAAUGGGCGGGAGCCUGAUGAAGAGGCCCCGGGUGCGGGAUGACGGCCUUCGGGUUGUAAACCGCUUUGGCCUGUGACGAAGCGUGAGUGACGGUAAUGGGUAAAGAAGCACCGGCUAACUACGUG
RNAcentral lists this ribosomal RNA (468 nucleotides) under uncultured bacterium. RNAcentral describes it as "partial 16S ribosomal RNA". It matches the Rfam family "Bacterial small subunit ribosomal RNA", at positions 28 to 507 of the family's 1533-position model. The record is from RNAcentral.